This 837-nucleotide long non-coding RNA is filed under the name Calidris pugnax (ruff). RNAcentral describes it as "lncRNA (ENSCPUG00000010003.1)". The record is from RNAcentral. Lineage: Eukaryota; Metazoa; Chordata; Aves; Charadriiformes; Scolopacidae.
AUGCAAGGGAAUAACAAGAUUCUCCCUCUUUUUGCACUGACUGCAAAGGGUGAGACCAACAGGUUGCAAUGUACAGGGACCUCAUCCUUCUCCCUUUACAGAUCAGAGGCACCCUUCCAGCAAACAUCUGUGGACAAAAGUUCUGUGCAGAGGGGGAGCUUAAUGCCAACACUUCAAACGGAAGAAAGUACCUGUAAAUGUGUAUCUCAAAUGGGCAGUGCCACUCGUUCCCAUCCACUUCUCUCACCCGCUGCUCUCCCCUCUGGACCUCUGUGGACACAUGAUGUGGGCCGUGCUGUCCAGAGGCCAGAGCUACGUUCUCCUUCAUCCUUCAUGCCCCAAAUAAAAGCUGGAGCAGAAAUGAGAGAUCAGCCUGUGAGUGCUCGCCAGGGAGCCCAAGACUUUCAACUGGAGUCUGUGGAGAAGUUGCGACCAAACUUGCAGCCACAUUUGCUGUUACCUGAGGACUUGGUGGAAAAAUGGAGUCACCAAACUGCGGCUGAAGGGGGAGAAGGAGAACACGGUUCCAGAGAAGAAAUGGUGUUGCAGAGAAAGCUGGAAGUUGAGCUGCGACACAUCCAGCAGCAGAUGCAGUACUACUUCAGCAGGAAGCAGGAACUCAGGUCCUGUCAGCAGCAGGCACAGAUUCUGCAGAAGUGGCUGGAAAUGAGCACACAACCAGAGGACCGAGAUGAUGGGGUACAAGGAGCUCGGGAAGAGUUGGAUCAGUUACAGGUGAGGAUCAACACUCUCACCAAAGCACAACUACAGGAGAGACACCACGUGCAGAACCUGGUUGCCCGCCUGCGUGACAUCCAGAUUGCUCUGGACAUAUAA